GACGAACGCUGGCGGCGUGCCUAAUACAUGCAAGUCGAGCGGACGGAUGGGAGCUUGCUCCCAGACCGUCAGCGGCGGACGGGUGAGUAACACGUGGGCAACCUGCCUGUAAGACUGGGAUAACUCCGGGAAACCGGGGCUAAUACCGGAUAACUCUUUCCCUCACAUGAGGGAAAGCUGAAAGAUGGCAUCUCGCUAUCACUUACAGAUGGGCCCGCGGCGCAUUAGCUAGUUGGUGAGGUAACGGCUCACCAAGGCGACGAUGCGUAGCCGACCUGAGAGGGUGAUCGGCCACACUGGGACGGAGACACGGCCCAGACUCCUACGGGAGGCAGCAGUAGGGAAUCUUCCGCAAUGGACGAAAGUCUGACGGAGCAACGCCGCGUGAGUGAUGAAGGUUUUCGGAUCGUAAAACUCUGUUGUCAGGGAAGAACAAGUACCGGAGUAACUGCCGGUACCUUGACGGUACCUGACCAGAAAGCCACGGCUAACUACGUG
RNAcentral lists this ribosomal RNA (498 nucleotides) under uncultured bacterium. RNAcentral describes it as "partial 16S ribosomal RNA". It matches the Rfam family "Bacterial small subunit ribosomal RNA", at positions 28 to 507 of the family's 1533-position model. The record is from RNAcentral.